GAGAUAAUAUUUUAAGGCUCAUUUUACCUGUGCUGCAAAGUGUUCAUUGGAGAAAAAAGUGAAAGGGAUGAGUGUUUGGUUGACCUUCAGCGUAUCUGAAAAGACACGCAAGAGAAAAGAUCCUCUCUGCUUAGCUGCCAUAUGCCCCAUGUCCAUGGCGGUGCCGCAAAAUGCAAAAUGCAAAAUGUAUGCAAUAUAGACAAGCAGCAGUACCAGCAUCUCACUGACCUUGACCCAACAAUUUCACUAACUAAUAAUAACCCUCGCCUCUAUUCUCUUCCUUCCUAUAAUAAUCCAAAAUUCAUACAGUACCAUAACAUUUCUCUUUAUCAUCAACAGGAUAUUUUUGGGGGCUUCUUCGUCUUUUUCUUCUGCUCUUUCAAAUGCGGCCUUCUAUCUUUAGAUUCUUCCGUUGCCAUCUCCGUCACAACUCCGCUAGCUUUUCAUCUGGAGCGUCAUUAGUAUCUGCAAGCAGCAGUGGUCAAAAAAUAACUGCUAGUCAUCUCAAUGGUUCCUCGUCAAAGAUGUAUUCUACUUCAUGCGAGUCCGAAGAGUCAUCCAAAGAUAGAGCUAUUUCUGACAUGUUGAUCGAUUCAUUCGGAAGGCUACACACAUAUUUGAGAAUAUCAUUGACUGAGCGCUGCAAUUUACGGUGCCACUACUGUAUGCCAGCUGAGGGUGUAGAACUCACUCCUAGUGCUCGACUUCUAUCUCAGGAUGAGAUUGUUCGCUUAGCAAGUUUGUUUGUUAGCUCUGGAGUGAAUAAAAUUCGUUUAACUGGUGGGGAACCAACUAUUCGGAAGGAUAUCGAAGAACUUUGCUUGCAACUAUCAAACUUGAAGGGGCUUAAAACCCUGGCGAUGACAACAAAUGGAAUCACUCUGGGAAAAAAACUUCCAAAGCUGAAAGAUGCUGGACUUAAUCUGGUGAACAUAAGCUUAGACACAUUGGUUCCAGCAAAAUUUGAGUUCAUGACUAGGCGCAAAGGGCAUGAGAGAGUAAUGGAGUCAAUUGAUGCUGCAGUAAAGCUGGGUUAUAAUCCCGUCAAAGUAAAUUGUGUUGUAAUGCGUGGAUUCAAUGAUGAUGAAAUUUGUGAUUUCGUUGAGUUGACACGCAAAAGGCCAAUUAAUGUCCGGUUUAUUGAGUUUAUGCCGUUUGAUGGGAAUGUCUGGAAUGUCAAGAAGCUAGUACCUUAUGCUGAACUGUUGGACAAAGUGGGUGAAAAAUUUACAGGGCUUCAGAGAAUUCAAGAUCAUCCCACAGAGACAGCUAAGAAUUUCAGGAUAGACGGGCAUCAAGGUUCCGUUUCAUUUAUUACAUCAAUGACUGAGCAUUUUUGUGCUGGUUGUAACAGACUGCGACUUUUAGCUGAUGGAAACUUCAAAGUUUGCCUUUUUGGUCCCUCAGAGGUGAGCUUGAGGGAUCCUAUUCGUCUUGGUGAGGGUGAUGAUAAACUCAGGGAGAUCAUCGGGGCAGCGGUCAAAAGGAAGAAAGCUUCUCAUGCUGGGAUGUUUGAUAUCGCCAAAACUCCAAAUAGACCAAUGAUACAUAUUGGUGGAUGAUGGAUGGAAUAUAUUGGGUUUCAAUGGUCAUAGUUGAAUUGGACAAUGAUGCGUGUAUAUGGACCAGGAAAAAGAGAGAUAGGAGAAGGUAAAAAGAAAAGAGGAAGGUGACCAAGCCAAUAAACCUCAAUUUGGAUUUUCGGAGCUGUAUAUGAGUGAGGGUGUUCGGCUUAAAUAAUAUUUAGGACCUGUAAAUUAUAGUGUGCGUCUCUUGUAUGCCAUGUUGAAAUAAGAAAUAUAUAUUUGUUUCAUAAUAUGUAUGUACCAUUCCUGAAUUGGCUGUUGUGAUGUUAUCCUUUUGACAUGUCUUAAUUGUGUAUCCAUUGCUCAUUCCCUUGCUA
Capsicum annuum is the source of this 1903-nucleotide RNA transcript. It is a transcript of the gene named GTP 3',8-cyclase, mitochondrial, with no coding region annotated. The record is from RefSeq and is a predicted model, not a curated record. Lineage: Eukaryota; Viridiplantae; Streptophyta; Magnoliopsida; Solanales; Solanaceae. The transcript has 7 exons.